RNAcentral lists this ribosomal RNA (450 nucleotides) under uncultured bacterium. Its description in RNAcentral is "partial 16S ribosomal RNA". It matches the Rfam family "Bacterial small subunit ribosomal RNA", at positions 338 to 795 of the family's 1533-position model. The record is from RNAcentral.
CCUACGGGCGGCUGCAGUAAGGAAUAUUGGUCAAUGGACGCAAGUCUGAACCAGCCAUGCCGCGUGGAGGAUGAAGGUCCUCUGGAUUGUACACUUCUUUUAUUUGGGAAGAAACUCCCGAUUUCCAUCGGGAUUGACGGUACCAGCUGAAUAAGCACCGGCUAACUCCGUGCCAGCAGCCGCGGUAAUACGGAGGGUGCAGGCGUUACCCGGAUUAACUGGGUUGAAGGGGGGCAGGUAAGGGCAUGUUGAAAUCUCCGGGCUUAACCCGGAAAUUGCCAUUGAUACUAUUUGUCUUGAAUACUCUGGAGGUGAGCGGAAUAUGUCAUGUAGCGGUGAAAUGCUUAGAUAUGACAUAGAACACCCAUUGCGAAGGCAGCUCACUACGGAAAUAUUGACGCUGAGGCACGAAAGCGUGGGGAUCAAACAGGAUUAGAUACCCUUGUAGUC